Molecule: non-coding RNA, 73 nt
Organism: Limulus polyphemus (Atlantic horseshoe crab)
Lineage: Eukaryota; Metazoa; Arthropoda; Merostomata; Xiphosura; Limulidae
Source: the annotation of a RefSeq genome assembly
GUCUGCGUAGCCUUAUGGAUAAGGCGUCUGACUUCGAAUCAGAAGAUUGCGGGUUUAAAUCCUGUCGCGGACG